RNAcentral lists this ribosomal RNA (480 nucleotides) under uncultured bacterium. Its description in RNAcentral is "partial 16S ribosomal RNA". It matches the Rfam family "Bacterial small subunit ribosomal RNA", at positions 28 to 523 of the family's 1533-position model. The record is from RNAcentral.
GACGAACGCUAGCGGCGUGCUUAACACAUGCAAGUCGAACGAUGAAGUUCCUUCGGGAAUGGAUUAGUGGCGAACGGGUGAGGAACACGUGAGAAACCUGCCUUUCAUUUUGGGAUAACUCCGGGAAACCGGGGCUAACACCGAAUACUCCGUCUCGGCGGCAUCGCUGAGCCGGGAAAAAAUUUUGAUGAAAGAUGGUCUCGCGGCCUAUCAGCUAGUUGGUGAGGUAAUGGCUCAUCAAGGCAACGACGGGUAGCCGGCCUGAGAGGGCGACCGGCCACACAGGGACUGAGACACGGCCCAGACUCCUACGGGAGUCAGGAGUAGGGAAUAUUGGGCAAUGGGCGCAAGCCUGACCCAGCGACGCCGCGUGAGGGAUGAAGGCCUUCGGGUUGUAAACCUCUUUCAGUAGGGAAGAAGCGAAAGUGACGGUACCUAAAGAAGAAGCACCGGCUAACUAUGUGCCAGCCGCCGCAGUAA